AUACGUAGGGGGCGAGCGUUGUCAGGAAUGAUUGGGCGUAAAAGGGCGCGUAGGCGGCCCGGUAAGUCUGGAGUGAAAGUCCUGUUUUUAAGAUGGGAAUUGCUUUGGAUACUGUCGGGCUUGAGUGCAGGAGAGGUAAGUGGAAUUCCCAGUGUAGCGGUGAAAUGCGUAGAGAUUGGGAGGAACACCAGUGGCGAAGGCGACUUACAGGACUGUAACCGACGCUGAGGCGCGAAAGUGUGGGGAGCAAACAGGGUUAGAUACCCUGGUAGUCCACACUGUAAACGAUGAAUGCUAGGUGUAGGGGGUAUCGACCCCUUCUGUGCCGCAGUCAACACAAUAAGCAUUCCGCCUGGGGAGUACGGCCGCAAGGUUGAAACUCAAAGGAAUUGACGGGG
RNAcentral lists this ribosomal RNA (398 nucleotides) under uncultured bacterium. RNAcentral describes it as "partial 16S ribosomal RNA". It matches the Rfam family "Bacterial small subunit ribosomal RNA", at positions 523 to 918 of the family's 1533-position model. The record is from RNAcentral.